RNAcentral lists this small nuclear RNA (96 nucleotides) under Cervus elaphus hippelaphus. The record is from RNAcentral. Lineage: Eukaryota; Metazoa; Chordata; Mammalia; Artiodactyla; Cervidae.
GGCAGCACAUAUACUAAAAUUGGAACGAUACAGAAAAGAUUAGCAUGGCCCCUGCACAAGGAUGACAUGCAAAUUUGUGAAGCAUUCCAUAUUUUU